Molecule: ribosomal RNA, 253 nt
Filed under: uncultured bacterium
Lineage: Bacteria
Description: partial 16S ribosomal RNA
Rfam family: Bacterial small subunit ribosomal RNA
Source: RNAcentral
UACGUAGGUGACAAGCGUUGUCCGGAUUUACUGGGCGUAAAGAGCGCGCAGGCGGUCGUUCAAGUCGAGUGUGAAAGCCCCCGGCUCAACUGGGGAGGGUCACUCGAUACUGAUCGACUCGAAGGCAGGAGAGGGAAGUGGAAUUCCCGGUGUAGUGGUGAAAUGCGUAGAUAUCGGGAGGAACACCGGUGGCGAAGGCGGUUCUCUGGGCCUGUACUGACGCUGAGGAACGAAAGCGUGGGGAGCGAACAGG